AGCGAGAUCAGCGAGAUCACCAGUAUCAAGAAGGAGGACGUGAUCUCCACGCUGCAGUACCUGAACCUCAUCAACUACUACAAGGGCCAGUACAUCCUGACGCUCUCCGAGGACAUCGUGGAGGGCCACGAGCGGGCGAUGCUGAAGCGGCUCCUGCGCAUCGACGCCAAGUGCCUGCACUUCACCCCCAAGGACUGGAGCAAGCGGGGCAAGUGGUGAGGCCACGCCCCCGCCGGGCCACGCCCCCGCCGGGCCACGCCCCCCGUCACCUGGCGCACCUCACUGAGCGACAGCCGGCCCCGCCCACAGCUGGCGCUGCGCGUCCUUUAUUGACCGUAAAAGGAAAGGGGGUGGGGCGUUACCGGGCCCCACCCACCGUGGGAGUGGCUUCGUUUGUGGGCGGAGCCUCCUGUGAACAGCUUUGGGUUUUUCAAUAAAAUGGGGCGGGGCUCUCGCAGGCUCCGCCCACACUGGGAGGGGUGCAGGCACUCUGGUUGGGUUAGGCCCCGCCCGUGGGCGUGGUCAGCCCUGGUAAUGAGGUGGGCGUGGUUUAACUGCUCUGGGCGUGGCCUUGGUCACGCUGGGUCCGUUGACAUCACAGGA
This is a long non-coding RNA of Ficedula albicollis (Collared flycatcher), 603 nucleotides long. RefSeq lists it as uncharacterized. The record is from RefSeq and is a predicted model, not a curated record. Lineage: Eukaryota; Metazoa; Chordata; Aves; Passeriformes; Muscicapidae. The transcript has 2 exons.